AUCGUGCAGGUCGGGUUGCGUUGCGUUGGCUUGUCCUCAGGGCCUGGUGGAGGCGGUGCUGGAGGCAGCCAAGAAGGACUACGCAGAGGAGCAGCCGAGACGCGCACGGGCCAUCCUGGUACUUAAUGACAUUACAUUACAUUACAUGAUGCUGCCGCCACUACGAAAGGUAUCUUCUCUGCGGAACAGUGACGAGGGGCGAUGAACUUAUGAUGAUGCUUGUGAACUGUGGUGACGAACACGACGCAGCUCCGGCGGCGUGGUGCUCGCAUCCCAGGACGGCAGGAUCGUCUGCGACAACACGCUGGACGCCAGGCUCAGCGUCUCCUUCAGGCAAAAGCUUCCUGAGAUCAGGAAGAAACUCUUCAGCUACCAAGUAUCCUAAUAUCUUUUAAUUUUUUGCUAUUCUCUGAUCGAUUGCUUUCUGAAAUAAAUCGGAAGCGGUUCGUCAAACUUGGAACUCGGUUGUCUCUCUGCCAAAAUAAUGCUUAACAACUGGUCGUCGAGUGAUCUGCUUGCUCCUCUCUUUUUUUCCUUGGAGGCAUAGUAAAUCUCCUUUGUCAAGUGUACUAGCAUGUAGCACAAAAAUGUUCUCUUGUAGCCGAAUUUUGAAGCUCAUCGAAGGCUCGCGAGCAGGCAAGGUGCUCUCUAUGAGGAGCUAUAUUUGCUUCUUUACCCUUAUGAAAUAUGGGUGCUAUCUGAUUCAAAUGGACUGCUUUUGCACAUUUGCUGAAUGUUUCAAAUGGACUGCUAGCACUAUCUGAUUCAAAUGGACUACUUGCACAUUUGCUGAAUGUUUCAAAUGGACUGCUUGCACACUGUCUGCACUGGUCACAACAGAGCCUGCAACGUCGAGGGAGGAUGGUGUUGGUCGCGACGUCGAGGGAGGCGUGAUGGCUUUAGGCUGCGGCGGCACGGUGGCCUGGGUGCGGCGGCGGGGCAAGGAACUCGACCAGGAGAGAGGAGCUAGGAAAAACGCACACGCAUUGGAGAGAUGAGCCUGUGUGGAUAAGGUGAGGGUAAUUUUGGAAAUCUUGAGGGCAAUUUAACAAGGAAUCGGCGAAUCGCGCUUUCAGAAGGGCAUAGAAGCGAAACUAUGGAAAGGCAAAAGAAUUGUCAUUCCAAUAUAUCAGACAAAAAGAGAAAACAUUCUAAUAUAUUAGACAAAAAGAGAAAACAUUGUAAAAAACUGGCACCAAAGCUGGCGCCAACACCAAAACAACUAGGCAAGCAAGACCUAACUAGAAUCACUGAAAGGAAAAAAAAUCUAACCCCUUGACCAGGCCCCCAGACACUACUAUCAGGCCAGACCUCUACCCACAAGAUAUUUCACCAUCUGCACCACUUGCUCUGUCGUUCUCUGUUGACCCUUGAAGAUUCUGUUGUUUCUCUCCAACCAUAAGCUCCACCAGAAAUAAAUUAGAAGGUGUUGAGCACCAAAUUGAGCGGGCGGACGGUCCGGCCCUGAGGCCGGACGGUCCGCGCUUGCGCAGAACAGUUUAGGGUUCCGAGUUUUGUGCUAUGAUUGUUGGCUAGAUUCACGGAAUUAACUCGGAAUCUAGUCGUGUAAAGGGUCCAGCCCCCCUCCUCUAUAUAAAGAGAGGUCUACGGCCGAUUUGUAAUCAUCAACAAUCGAAUCAAUACAACUUCUAUUCGCAUUU
Zea mays is the source of this 1661-nucleotide long non-coding RNA. RefSeq lists it as uncharacterized. NCBI's taxonomy places the organism in Eukaryota, Viridiplantae, Streptophyta, Magnoliopsida, Poales, Poaceae. The transcript is spliced from 2 exons. The record is from RefSeq and is a predicted model, not a curated record.